This 380-nucleotide unclassified non-coding RNA is filed under the name Hevea brasiliensis (rubber tree). Lineage: Eukaryota; Viridiplantae; Streptophyta; Magnoliopsida; Malpighiales; Euphorbiaceae. The record is from RNAcentral.
CUCAAUCAUCAAUCUAACCAUUUUUCUUUUCUUGGUCAUUAGAACCACAAUAAAAUGUACGAGUAUUGACCAUGAAUUACAAAUACCUUCUCUGACUGCUCAUGGUAAUAAGGUUGAGGAGAGGUUGCUUUAGGUUUGAUUCUAUACUAGGAUAAUAAUCACGAUGCAUAUCAUUCAUUAUUCACAAACCAUCACAAAGACUUGAUCACUGGGUGGCUGCUUCAAUGGAAAUACCAUUUGUUACUAAGUCUUUGUUUUUGUUUCUUCCUUUUUCACUUUAUCCUAGCUGAAAGCAUUGAGCAACUCCUCACUUGAGAAAAACUUUGAACAGAACUCCUAAAUACCUCUGGUCUUGGGCUACACAGGAGAUACUAGAAGAG